RNAcentral lists this ribosomal RNA (443 nucleotides) under uncultured bacterium. RNAcentral describes it as "SSU rRNA". It matches the Rfam family "Bacterial small subunit ribosomal RNA", at positions 26 to 518 of the family's 1533-position model. The record is from RNAcentral.
AGAGCGAACGCUGGCGGCAGGCCUAACACAUGCAAGUCGAGCGCCCCGCAAGGGGAGCGGCAGACGGGAGAGUAACACGUGGGAACGUACCCUUUGGUUCGGAACAACCCAGGGAAACUUGGGCUAAUACCGGAUAAGCCCUUACGGGGAAAGAUUUAUCGCCGAAAGAUCGGCCCGCGUCUGAUUAGCUAGUUGGUGAGGUAAUGGCUCACCAAGGCGACGAUCAGUAGCUGGUCUGAGAGGAUGAUCAGCCACAUUGGGACUGAGACACGGCCCAAACUCCUACGGGAGGCAGCAGUGGGGAAUAUUGGACAAUGGCGCAAGCCUGAUCCAGCCAUGCCGCGUGAGUGAUGAAGGCCUAGGGUUGUAAAGCUCUUUUGUGCGGGAAGAUAAUGACGGUACCGCAAGAAUAAGCCCCGGCUAACGUUCGUGCCAGCAGCCGC